This is a non-coding RNA of Ricinus communis (castor bean), 106 nucleotides long. NCBI's taxonomy places the organism in Eukaryota, Viridiplantae, Streptophyta, Magnoliopsida, Malpighiales, Euphorbiaceae. The record is from Rfam.
AAACUAUGGUGAGGACAUCUACUUUACAAUUCUUUAGACCUUUUCCAAGCUUCAUAAAAUGAACCAUCAUCCUUUUGGUAAAAACUAGCAAUCUGCUGUCUGAUUU